This 1208-nucleotide long non-coding RNA is filed under the name Fragaria vesca (wild strawberry). RNAcentral describes it as "long non-coding RNA (FVES_LNC005007)". Lineage: Eukaryota; Viridiplantae; Streptophyta; Magnoliopsida; Rosales; Rosaceae. The record is from RNAcentral.
AAACUGUAAAAGUGACACAUUCACUGUAAACUCUAAACCUAUAACACAUUUACUGUAAAUUGACAUCAUUCACUGUAAACUCAUUCACCUAUAACACAUGCACUGUAAACUCAUUCACUGAUAACACAUCACCUAUAACACAUCAUCAUCAUCACUACUAAACUGUAAAUUGACAUAAGUGUAUUAGAUUCUUACCGUAAGCCCGUCUAUCAACUUCUUCUUCUCAGAGUCACUGAUGCAUUCCCAGUUUCCGGCCGACAAUCUGACUUUGGAUCGAAUUAUGCGACCAAUGCUAUUGACCAGGAGGCUGUUCACUAAUGAUGAAGACGGUCCUCUGAUGAAGUCGUCAUACACAACUUCGAUCAAGCCGGAAACUUUCACAAUUCGUUUCACCUUGUCCAGGUUGCCGAACCCUCGUCGGUGUUUUGGGGGAGGUCCGGUGGACUUCUGAGUACCACGUCGAACACUGCAACCAUCGGACAGCGUUGCCUGAGCUUCUGGGGCGACAUCGUCGAUGUCGUCCUCAUCCAGUGGAGGAGCUGUAGACGCAAUCGAGGCUGGUGGUGGAGGUGGAGUGGUUUCACCAUCUCCCGUCGGUGACUGCUCAGCAACAUCUCCUGUCAGCCCCGCCGUAUUCGCCGUCGUGCCGGAACCAAAUUGGGCAGCACAAGCCGAUCGUAAUCUCUCCGACGCAAUCUCCCUGGACCUUUUCUUCUACAAUGGUGCCAUGCUUGGGAUUGAAACUCGGUUUAGAUGGUAGAGGGGAGAGCGAAGUCGAAUUGGGAUUCAGGCUGAAAUUGGGAUUGGAAUUGGGAGGACGAAUUUGGGAGAGAAGCUGGGGAGGCGAAUUGGGAUUAGGGUUUAGGGUUUCGAAACUGGGGAGGGAUUAGGGUUUCGAGUGAUUCUGGGAACGAGGUCGAAGCAGUGAUUCCGGGGAGUUAUUUCGUGAUAGAGUUCGAACUGGGUUUGGUUUAUUUAGUUAUAGAUCAAGCGACGAAGUUAGUUAUUUCGUGGCCCAAUCUAGGUAUUCGAAUUUUGGCCCACAUAUUUGGCGCAAAACUCGUACGCGCUAUAUUUUAGGCCCUUUGCGACGAAUAACUCUUUUUCGUCGCUUAGGACAUAUCUGUAGCGACGAAUUUAUAAUUUUUAAUCGCAAAAAAAUAAAUUGAUGUAUAUUUUCAUUGUAAUACAUUAAUUUAAUAAUUAAU